AUGAGUUUGUUUAUUAAAUCCAGAGAAGUGUUUUUUUAUUUACUAUCAGAAAAACACCUAAUUGGCCCUCAGAACAGCACUCGAGUGUCCUUGAAGGUUGUGACGGCGGGGAGAUUGAGAGUGCACCGGUUGACAUCGCCGCCUCCCACAAAGGGAGUAUUAAAGCGGUUCUGUGCAAAAGGUGUGUGUGUCCUGGACGUAAGCAGCCACUUAAAUUAUCGUUUGAGGAGAAUUUCAGAGCAGUACGGCUCUCAGAGGAACUCCGCUGUCCACACAAUUCUGACAUGCAGGCCCUCAAGGAAUCUUUGUGAAGGAUGAAGGAGCACUUGUAAAAACGGGUAUUUUCAUUGACCUUUCUCAUUUUGCUCAGUUUAUAGACUUGGCUAUUAUAAUUUAGCCGAAAGCAAACUGUCUUUUGCAUAAAAAUCACCUUCCAUCUCUUUAUUACUCACAAUAAUGAGGCUUUAUUUAUUUCUCUCUCUGUUCACCCAUUUAAACGGAUUUAAAUCAUUUGAAUUUAAUCAUUCAUUUCCAUAUUUAUGUUUGUAGUAUUAUGUGGGUCAUUCUACAGAAUUAUUUUUGUUGUAUGCAUCAAACACAGUAAAAGUUUGCAUCAACUCUUCAUUUUCAAAGUCAUUUUUAUCCAUGUAUAUAUGGGGCACAAAUGACAGCCAUGUUGUAGAAUGACCUACACUGUUCAUUAUUUAUGAUGUUUACUUUCUGUUUGGUUUACAGAAGUUGUGGCUCUCACAUGAGACAGGCCUCUCAAUGCAAUGUGGGCACUUGGUGACUGUUUAAUGGCUAGUCUGUCAGAUCUUGCACUAAGAAGUCCAUACAGAACCGCAUUAAUUAUAGCACAAUAACUCUUCUGCAAAAACACCCUUGAUCUAUUUAUCAACAAAUAAAUCCCUUUAAUUCAUAUUUGCUGAUGACACCAACCUUGUUCAUAGUGGGACUGCAACAGAGCCCACAUGUAGAGAAAAUGCUCAUUAUAGUGACAUCCUAGCUUCCUCCAGUAUAGGUAAUUUGUCCACAUUGAUAACGGAAGAUAAUCUUGUCUCAGCAAGAAUCUAAAAUUGUGAAAUGUAUUUGGAAUAUACCCUAAGUUUGCUCUGCUUUUCUGAAUACACUGUAAAAUACAUUUUAGUCAGGCAGCCUUGAAUAGAGGGUUUCAGCUCUCUUUUAAUGGAUUCCUCUGAUCUGAUGUGUUUUAACAGUGUCUUUUUCUAUAUAGAUGGGGAUCAAAUAGCAGAGCUGCAGCAUGUUGGCUUGGACCACCUGCAGGAGAUGAGUUUCAGAGAGCGCUGGGGGAAAACAGCAGGGGGAUGCGUUAGAUUUAUCCAUGUGGCUUGUACUGACAUGUGUUUAUGAUGCAGAAUGUGCAUGUGUGUCUAAAAAUAUGUGGUUUAUGUUGUGUAUUGGAGUAUCUGUGUGCAGAUGGUAGCUCUAUAAUGUCUCAUAUUGGUGCAUAUGUGUGUGUAAGACUUUACUUCGAAAUGGUUAGCUAAAUGUUUAUUUGUAUGGUUAAAGUUAGUCUGUAUUUUACUUAUAAUUAGCAUCAUGUAAAUAAGGUUACACUCUAUUUUGAAGGCCCCCUUUAGAAAUUUUGUUGACUAAGUAACUUUGCACCUACAUGUCAACUAACUCUUAUUAGCGUAUUAUUAAUUUAUUAUUCAGUUUAGUUAGGAUUAGCCAACAUGUACUCGCAAAGUUACUCUCUCUACUAUCUCUAUGAGUAGAAUCUGUUUGAGUGACUAUCAAAAUAAAGUGUUAGCAAAUAUUAAGCCUACAGUCUAAUACUCUAAGGACAGGUGGUUGAAAUGUAGUUGCAAAGUUACUUUUAGUCAACAGAAUGUCUAAAUGAGACUGUCGAAAUGAACUGUUAGAAACAAUAGAAGUCUAAGUCUUCAUUAGGUAGUUUAGUAAAUGUGUGUCUCUCUCUAUCUCUGUGUGUGUGUGUGUGUGUGUGUGUGUGUGUGUGUGAGAGAGUGUGGUUAGCAUCACACCCCCCCUUCCCGAGACCUCCCAUGUUUCUCAGGUGCUAAAAUGUGGCGGUUAAGGCCCCACAGAGAGGUAUAAAUAGGACUCUCUUCCUAUGGAGAGACAGUCUUUUAUAGGAGCAGCAAGCGACUGAGAUCCAGCCAGCAGACACUCUUAGAUAGAUAGCCUGGAGGACAUCCGCACUCAAAAACACACUAGGCCUCCCCUGUGCACCCAUGCAGAAAGGCCCCAGGGGAGAAUUCACCAGCUGAGUCUCAAAAACAAGGUAGGACAACCCGGCUGACUGACAGACUGAAUGCACUCAGCUGUUUGUGUGUAUGCGUGUCUCAAUAGUUCACUUCAGAGCUGAUAGCUGGAGAGACCCAGGGUGCAAACACAAGCUGAGAGUGAGAAAAAGAAAGAGAGAGAGAAAGAGAGAGAAAAUGCCAGCAUGUACUCGCCAUGGGAGUGUUAUGGUAAGCGUUUGUUGAUUUAUUGAUCAGGAAAGAGGACCGUUUUACAUUCUUAUGGAUAGGAUGUGAGCGGAGCAUCACAACAUGACACAGUUGUUUUGAGAGUCUGCAAGGGUUUGACAGCUACGACUAGUCCAAGUGAUGUUACUUCUGAGGUAGUCUUUGUUUUUAUUUGUGUGUUUAUGCAGAUUACGGCACUCUGGGAGUGACAUGGUUGAAACGGGAUAGAAUCUGAUUCAUAGGGAACUGCUUGCAUUACAAUUUCCCUUUAUCCCACUUCAGUCAAUGGCUGUGCAUCAUAAGACUCGCCUCUCUCCCUUUCUCUCGAGUAAUCCAUUAAAUGCCAGCAUGCUCUUCCAUGAACUUAAACUCCUGGUUCAGCACAGUAAAUGACUAUUAUAACUGAUUGACAGCCCUAGAGGUGUCCAUUUAGCAAAUUCUUUGGUACCUGAGAAAGAUGAGGGGCAAAAAAUUAAAUGAAAGAUGAGGGAUAGAAAAAGGACAUAGUGGGUCCCUUAGCGGGAAUGUUGGCGAGGAGAGAAAUUAAGUUUUCAGCAGCAGAUCGAUUUCUGAACACUUGUCUCAUGCAUUUUACAGAGGCUUUAAAUGCCACUUACGGUAUAAUGCUGUACUCUGGGUCAGAGCAAAGCUCUUCCGUUUGGGCUGGGAUUUCAGGGCCGCUUUUAACAAACUAAGCCUAUAGACCUAAGUAAAUCCGUCUGAUUGAGUCACAGCCUUGGAAAUUAUGUUGUUUUGCUCUUCUUUUGUGGAUUUGAAAGCCUGAAACCCGCCUUUUCUGUUACACCUCAGAAUAUUCCUUGGCAGCCAAGCUAAUCUCAUAGUCUCAUAAACUCUUGAUUCAUAAAGAAUUAAUCUUAUUCCUUCUUACUUUCU
RNAcentral lists this long non-coding RNA (3347 nucleotides) under Carassius auratus (goldfish). RNAcentral's name for it is "lncRNA (ENSCARG00000066317.1)". Lineage: Eukaryota; Metazoa; Chordata; Actinopteri; Cypriniformes; Cyprinidae. The record is from RNAcentral.